This 495-nucleotide ribosomal RNA is filed under the name uncultured bacterium. RNAcentral describes it as "partial 16S ribosomal RNA". It matches the Rfam family "Bacterial small subunit ribosomal RNA", at positions 28 to 507 of the family's 1533-position model. The record is from RNAcentral.
GACGAACGCUGGCGGCGUGCCUAAUACAUGCAAGUAGAACGCUGAAGGAGGAGCUUGCUCUUCUGGAUGAGUUGCGAACGGGUGAGUAACGCGUAGGUAACCUGCCUUGUAGCGGGGGAUAACUAUUGGAAACGAUAGCUAAUACCGCAUAAGAGUAGAUGUUGCAUGACAUUUGCUUAAAAGUUGCAAUUGCAUCACUACCAGAUGGACCUGCGUUGUAUUAGCUAGUUGGUGGGGGAACGGCUCACCAAGGCGACGAUACAUAGCCGACCUGAGAGGGUGAUCGGCCACACUGAGACUGAGACACGGCCCAGACUCCUACGGGAGGCAGCGGUAGGGAAUAUUCAGCAAUGGACGGAAGUCUGACCGAGCAACGCCGCGUGAGUGAAGAAGGUUUUCGGAUCGUAAAGCUCUGUUGUAAGAGAAGAACGAGUGUGAGAGUGGAAAGUUCACACUGUGACGGUAUCUUACCAGAAAGGGACGGCUAACUACGUG